RNAcentral lists this ribosomal RNA (253 nucleotides) under uncultured bacterium. RNAcentral's name for it is "partial 16S ribosomal RNA". It matches the Rfam family "Bacterial small subunit ribosomal RNA", at positions 524 to 776 of the family's 1533-position model. The record is from RNAcentral.
UACGUAGGGUGCAAGCGUUGUCCGGAAUUAUUGGGCGUAAAGGCUCGUAGAGCGGUUCGUCGCGUCGGCUGUGAAAUCCCGAGGCUCAACCUCGGGUCUGCAGUCGAUACGGGCAAACUAGAGUAUUGCAGGGGAGACUGGAAUUCCUGGUGUAGCGGUGAAAUGCGCAGAUAUCAGGAGGAACACCGGUGGCGAAGGCGGGUCUCUGGGCAAUAACUGACGCUGAGGAGCGAAAGCGUGGGGAGCGAACAGG